CCAAUAGCGUAUAUUAAAGUUGUUGCAGUUAAAAAGCUCGUAGUUGAACUUCGGGGUUUACUCAUUGGUCAGGCUUAAUUGUCUGUACUGGUGAGCUGAAUCUCUACCUUCUGAGGAACUUUCAUGCCAUUUAUUUGGUGUGAUGGGAAAUCAGGACUGUUACUUUGAAAAAAUUAGAGUGUUUAAAGCAGGCUAACGUCUGAAUACAUUAGCAUGGAAUAAUGAAAUAGGACGGACUGAUUCUAUUUCGUUGGUUUCUAGGAUCACCGUAAUGAUUAAUAGGGAUAGUUGGGGGCAUUAGUAUUCAAUUGUCAGAGGUGAAAUUCUUGGAUUAUUGAAGACUAACUACUGCGAAAGCAUUUGCCAAGGAUGUUUUCAUUAAUCAAGAACGAAAGUUAGGGGAUCGAAGACGAUCAGAUACCGUCGUAGUCUUAACCAUAAACUAUGCCGACUAGGGAUCGGACGAAGUUAAUUUUAUAAUGACGCGUUCGGCACCUUACG
RNAcentral lists this ribosomal RNA (501 nucleotides) under uncultured Glomeromycotina. Its description in RNAcentral is "partial small subunit ribosomal RNA". It matches the Rfam family "Eukaryotic small subunit ribosomal RNA", at positions 591 to 1092 of the family's 1831-position model. Lineage: Eukaryota; Fungi; Glomeromycota. The record is from RNAcentral.